CAGUAAUUUAUGGGUGCCACUAUCUGCCU
RNAcentral lists this non-coding RNA (29 nucleotides) under Mus musculus (house mouse). Lineage: Eukaryota; Metazoa; Chordata; Mammalia; Rodentia; Muridae. The record is from RNAcentral.